AUUGAACGCUGGCGGCAUGCUUUACACAUGCAAGUCGAACGCGAAAGCGGGGGCAACCCUGCCGGUAGAGUGGCGAACGGGUGAGUAAUACAUCGGAACGUAUCCUCGCGUGGGGGACAACCAGUCGAAAGACGGGCUAAUACCGCAUACGCUGGAGACAGGAAAGCAGGGGACCCGCAAGGGCCUUGUGCGCAUGGAGCGGCCGAUGUCUGAUUAGCUAGUUGGGGGGUAAAGGCUCACCAAGCGACGAUCAGUAGCUGGUCUGAGAGGAUGAUCAGCCANACUGGGACUGAGACACGGCCCAGACUCCUACGGGAGGCAGCAGUGGGGAAUUUUGGACAAUGGGGCAACCCUGAUCCAGCCAUGCCGCGUGAGGGAAGAAGGCCUCGGUUGUAAC
This 397-nucleotide ribosomal RNA is filed under the name uncultured bacterium. RNAcentral describes it as "bacterial SSU rRNA". It matches the Rfam family "Bacterial small subunit ribosomal RNA", at positions 29 to 429 of the family's 1533-position model. The record is from RNAcentral.